UUAGACCCCUCUGACAUUGAGCAGUCAAUUGUGACAUGACUUUGGACAUAUGGCUAUUCUGCCAGUAACUUUUAUGUACAUAUCCUCACAAAUGUCUUUAAACAAAGAGGAGGAGACGUGGUGUAGAGGUUAGCGCAGUUUCCUGGAGUGAGAGGGAGGUCCUUGGUUUGAAUCUCCUUCCAGGGAACCUGGCAGCACUGAUUACAUCUCUAGGGCCACAUCACUAAGCUAGCGACCAGGAAGCUCAUUUGCCCAGCGUUCCGCUUUUCCCUCUCAAGAACUUCCGCUCUUUUGUGAAUUGUGAGGCUGUUGCGUCGUUAAACAUUAUGGAGCAUCAGCAUCAGCAACAGCAACAACCAGCACCACCUCCGCAACAACCGGAGCCACAACUCCUCCCGCAGCAUUUGGUAUAUACGUUUUUCCCAAUUUAAGGAGGAAUCGAUGGGCACUUUGGCUGGACAGGAGUGCCUGGUCGUUGCAAAGGUGAUGCGGUUUCUGACUACCCUGGCCCUCAGUCCCAAACCACGAUCCAUUCCGUCGCGAGAGGGCCGAAGCAGCAUUACAAUGUGCCCAAGUGCGGCAAGGGCCGCCGAAGAGGCCAAAAACAAAAGCCCCACCCCAACUUCUCUACUCGUCUCGAAUUUGACCCAAGGUCACUUUCAAACGGUCGAAGAAAUCAUGAGG
Molecule: long non-coding RNA, 684 nt
Organism: Tigriopus californicus
Lineage: Eukaryota; Metazoa; Arthropoda; Copepoda; Harpacticoida; Harpacticidae
Exons: 3
Source: RefSeq, a predicted model, not a curated record